Molecule: ribosomal RNA, 2557 nt
Filed under: Klebsiella pneumoniae
Lineage: Bacteria; Pseudomonadati; Pseudomonadota; Gammaproteobacteria; Enterobacterales; Enterobacteriaceae
Description: partial 23S ribosomal RNA
Rfam family: Bacterial large subunit ribosomal RNA
Source: RNAcentral
UGUGAACUCGAAGAGUAGGGCGGGACACGUGGUAUCCUGUCUGAAUAUGGGGGGACCAUCCUCCAAGGCUAAAUACUCCUGACUGACCGAUAGUGAACCAGUACCGUGAGGGAAAGGCGAAAAGAACCCCGGCGAGGGGAGUGAAAAAGAACCUGAAACCGUGUACGUACAAGCAGUGGGAGCACCUUCGGGUGUGACUGCGUACCUUUUGUAUAAUGGGUCAGCGACUUAUAUUCUGUAGCAAGGUUAACCGUAUAGGGGAGCCGCAGGGAAACCGAGUCUUAACUGGGCGUUAAGUUGCAGGGUAUAGACCCGAAACCCGGUGAUCUAGCCAUGGGCAGGUUGAAGGUUGGGUAACACUAACUGGAGGACCGAACCGACUAAUGUUGAAAAAUUAGCGGAUGACUUGUGGCUGGGGGUGAAAGGCCAAUCAAACCGGGAGAUAGCUGGUUCUCCCCGAAAGCUAUUUAGGUAGCGCCUCGUGAACUCAUCUUCGGGGGUAGAGCACUGUUUCGGCUAGGGGGUCAUCCCGACUUACCAACCCGAUGCAAACUACGAAUACCGAAGAAUGUUAUCACGGGAGACACACGGCGGGUGCUAACGUCCGUCGUGAAGAGGGAAACAACCCAGACCGCCAGCUAAGGUCCCAAAGUCAUGGUUAAGUGGGAAACGAUGUGGGAAGGCACAGACAGCCAGGAUGUUGGCUUAGAAGCAGCCAUCAUUUAAAGAAAGCGUAAUAGCUCACUGGUCGAGUCGGCCUGCGCGGAAGAUGUAACGGGGCUAAACCAUGCACCGAAGCUGCGGCAGCGACACUAUGUGUUGUUGGGUAGGGGAGCGUUCUGUAAGCCUGCGAAGGUGACCUGUGAGGGUUGCUGGAGGUAUCAGAAGUGCGAAUGCUGACAUAAGUAACGAUAAAGCGGGUGAAAAGCCCGCUCGCCGGAAGACCAAGGGUUCCUGUCCAACGUUAAUCGGGGCAGGGUGAGUCGACCCCUAAGGCGAGGCCGAAAGGCGUAGUCGAUGGGAAACAGGUUAAUAUUCCUGUACUUGGUGUUACUGCGAAGGGGGGACGGAGAAGGCUAUGUUAGCCGGGCGACGGUUGUCCCGGUUUAAGCAUGUAGGCUGGUUGUCCAGGCAAAUCCGGAUAAUCAAGGCUGAGGUGUGAUGACGAGGCACUACGGUGCUGAAGUAACAAAUGCCCUGCUUCCAGGAAAAGCCUCUAAGCAUCAGGUAACAUCAAAUCGUACCCCAAACCGACACAGGUGGUCAGGUAGAGAAUACCAAGGCGCUUGAGAGAACUCGGGUGAAGGAACUAGGCAAAAUGGUGCCGUAACUUCGGGAGAAGGCACGCUGGUGUGUAGGUGAAGUCCCUGCGGAUGGAGCUGAGACCAGUCGAAGAUACCAGCUGGCUGCAACUGUUUAUUAAAAACACAGCACUGUGCAAACACGAAAGUGGACGUAUACGGUGUGACGCCUGCCCGGUGCCGGAAGGUUAAUUGAUGGGGUUAUCCGUAAGGAGAAGCUCUUGAUCGAAGCCCCGGUAAACGGCGGCCGUAACUAUAACGGUCCUAAGGUAGCGAAAUUCCUUGUCGGGUAAGUUCCGACCUGCACGAAUGGCGUAAUGAUGGCCAGGCUGUCUCCACCCGAGACUCAGUGAAAUUGAACUCGCUGUGAAGAUGCAGUGUACCCGCGGCAAGACGGAAAGACCCCGUGAACCUUUACUAUAGCUUGACACUGAACAUUGAGCCUUGAUGUGUAGGAUAGGUGGGAGGCUUUGAAGCGUGGACGCCAGUCUGCGUGGAGCCAACCUUGAAAUACCACCCUUUAAUGUUUGAUGUUCUAACGUUGGCCCCUGACCGGGGUUGCGGACAGUGUCUGGUGGGUAGUUUGACUGGGGCGGUCUCCUCCCAAAGCGUAACGGAGGAGCACGAAGGUUAGCUAAUCCUGGUCGGACAUCAGGAGGUUAGUGCAAUGGCAUAAGCUAGCUUGACUGCGAGCGUGACGGCGCGAGCAGGUGCGAAAGCAGGUCAUAGUGAUCCGGUGGUUCUGAAUGGAAGGGCCAUCGCUCAACGGAUAAAAGGUACUCCGGGGAUAACAGGCUGAUACCGCCCAAGAGUUCAUAUCGACGGCGGUGUUUGGCACCUCGAUGUCGGCUCAUCACAUCCUGGGGCUGAAGUAGGUCCCAAGGGUAUGGCUGUUCGCCAUUUAAAGUGGUACGCGAGCUGGGUUUAGAACGUCGUGAGACAGUUCGGUCCCUAUCUGCCGUGGGCGCUGGAGAAUUGAGGGGGGCUGCUCCUAGUACGAGAGGACCGGAGUGGACGCAUCACUGGUGUUCGGGUUGUCAUGCCAAUGGCACUGCCCGGUAGCUAAAUGCGGAAGAGAUAAGUGCUGAAAGCAUCUAAGCACGAAACUUGCCCCGAGAUGAGUUCUCCCUGAGACUUUAAGUCUCCUGAAGGAACGUUAAAGACGAUGACGUUGAUAGGCCGGGUGUGUAAGCGCAGCGAUGCGUUGAGCUAACCGGUACUAAUGAACCGUGAGGCUUAACCUUACAACGCCGAAG